Small nucleolar RNA from Malus domestica (apple), 90 nucleotides. NCBI's taxonomy places the organism in Eukaryota, Viridiplantae, Streptophyta, Magnoliopsida, Rosales, Rosaceae. The record is from RefSeq and is a predicted model, not a curated record.
GAGCAAAUGAUGAGAAACAUUUGGAAUUGAAAACUGAUUGGCGAAAGCCAUGAAGCUUCCAAAAUUCGAGCUUUUUAAAACUGAUGCUCC